Callithrix jacchus (white-tufted-ear marmoset) is the source of this 117-nucleotide unclassified non-coding RNA. It matches the Rfam family "Metazoan signal recognition particle RNA". Rfam says of the family: The signal recognition particle (SRP) is a universally conserved ribonucleoprotein. It is involved in the co-translational targeting of proteins to membranes. NCBI's taxonomy places the organism in Eukaryota, Metazoa, Chordata, Mammalia, Primates, Cebidae. The record is from Ensembl.
GCCAGGUGGGGUGGCUCACACCUGUAAUCCCAGCACUUUGGGAGGCUGAGGUGGGUGGAUCACCUGAGGUCAGGAGUUCAAGACCAGCCUGGCCAACAUGGUGAAAACCUAUCUCUA